UGUGCUUGUAUGCGGGAAGUGAUGGACUCGUACAUUUCAGGGAUGAUUUUGUCAGUAAAAAAGCGCCUGGAGGGGAUUUUGUAACUGUCUUCCACUAUACUAUAGGGCUGCAAGUCAGUGGCUAUCAUUUUCCCAAUUGCUGCAUGAAUGGCUUUGGCUCGUGGGUUAUCUGAUGCCCACUGUUUGUUCGGUGUAGGGCUAGCAAAGCUGGUAAUGGUCGUCUGGUUAACACCAGUUUUUAGCUGUGACUGUCCUUCCUUUGCCG
Long non-coding RNA from Sander lucioperca (pikeperch), 265 nucleotides. RefSeq lists it as uncharacterized. NCBI's taxonomy places the organism in Eukaryota, Metazoa, Chordata, Actinopteri, Perciformes, Percidae. The record is from RefSeq and is a predicted model, not a curated record. The transcript is spliced from 2 exons.